CAGAACUUCCAGUACUAUGUUGAAUAGGAGUGGUGAGAGAGUGUAUCCUUGUCUUGUGCCAGUUUUCAAAGGGAAUGCUUCCAGAUUUCGCCCAUUCAGUAUGAUAUUGGCUGUGGGUUUUUCAUAUAUAGCUCUUCUUAUUUUGAGAUAUGUCCCACCAAUACCUAGUUCAUGGAGAGUUUUUAACAUGAGGGGAUGUUGAAUUUUAUCAAAGGCCUUUUCUGUGCCUAUUGAGAUAAUCAUGUGGUUUUUGUCAUUAGUUCUGUUUAUGUGAUGGAUUACAUUUAUUGAUUUGUGUAUGUUGGACCAGCCCUGCAUCUCACAGAUGAAGCUGACUUGAUCAUGAUGACUGCCUUUUCACUUAACUGUGUCCUCAUAUGGAAGAGAGGAGAAAAGAGGAGAGGAGGGGAGAGUUUUCUUCUUCAUGCACAGACAGGCACCAAUUUGAAGCUUAAUGACAGCAGAAACAGAGAACAACUACUGAGAUAAUCACCCACUCUGCUCCUGAAAGAAAACAACAACAAAACAACAACACUGGAAAACCACAAAAUAUAACUUGCUUUGCAUAGAAUUUGAAUUUAUUUUUCCAUUCUAUAUUUUAAAUUUAUUGCAACAGCUUGUAAUGCCUAACAAGGACAUCUUUUGUAAAAUUUCAAUGAGUUAGGAAGUUUUUCUUUGUUGCUUUUAGUAUGCAAAUUGCCAAAUUUAAUGUCAGAAAAUUAAAAACCUGCAUCAAAACCAGAAAAUAAAACCAA
RNAcentral lists this long non-coding RNA (755 nucleotides) under Homo sapiens (human). RNAcentral's name for it is "HSALNT0064419". Lineage: Eukaryota; Metazoa; Chordata; Mammalia; Primates; Hominidae. The record is from RNAcentral.